UGGUGCAUGGCCGUCGUCAGUUCGUACUGUGAAGCAUCCUGUUAAGUCAGGCAACGAGCGAGACCCACGCCCACAGUUGCCAGCGUACUCUCCGGAGUGACGGGUACACUGUGGGGACCGCCGCUGCUAAAGCGGAGGAAGGAAUGGGCAACGGUAGGUCAGUAUGCCCCGAAUAUCCCGGGCUACACGCGAGCUACAAUGGUUGGUACAAUGGGUAUCUACCCCGAAAGGGGACGGGAAUCUCCUAAAACCAAUCUUAGUUCGGAUUGAGGGCUGCAACUCGCCCUCAUGAAGCUGGAAUCCGUAGUAAUCGCGUUUCAACAGAACGCGGUGAAUACGUCCCUGCUCCUU
Molecule: ribosomal RNA, 351 nt
Filed under: uncultured Methanosaeta sp.
Lineage: Archaea; Methanobacteriati; Methanobacteriota; Methanomicrobia; Methanotrichales; Methanotrichaceae
Description: bacterial SSU rRNA
Rfam family: Archaeal small subunit ribosomal RNA
Source: RNAcentral